This is a non-coding RNA of Vicia faba (fava bean), 348 nucleotides long. The record is from the annotation of a GenBank genome assembly. NCBI's taxonomy places the organism in Eukaryota, Viridiplantae, Streptophyta, Magnoliopsida, Fabales, Fabaceae.
AUGAAUAAAAUUGGCUCUCUUGACAAUUUCAGAUUCCAUGAGAAAUGUGACACCUUAGAGUUGAAUCAUCUAAGCUUUGCUGAUGAUGUUCUCCUCUUCUAUCAUAGGGAUUACCUGUCGAGUUAUUCCAUGUUGCAAGGAUUACAAUUGUUCUCUAGAAUCUCUGGCCUCUAUCCUAACAAAAAUAAAUCUGAGAUUUAUUGCAGUCGCAUGAAAGAUUCAGACCUGCAAAAAAUCUUGGAUGCUUCAGGAUUCAUCAUGAGUAGGCUUCCUUUCAAGUACUUAGGAUGCCCAUCAAUUCUAAGAGGAUUUCAGCCAAAGAUUACCAAAUCCUGGUGGACAAAAUAA